ACUCAUACCUUGCAGGGGAAAUAUGGUCAUGAAAGUGGUUUUCCCAGGGGGGGGGGGCUCCUCCAUUGCACUUCAGGUGUGCUGAUCCCUGUGAUUUCCCCAAACGUGGGGAACUCAACUGCAUAACUUGUGGUAGUGGGGGAUUGCAUCUGUGUUUUCCCUGG
This 164-nucleotide small nuclear RNA is filed under the name Pogona vitticeps (central bearded dragon). RNAcentral's name for it is "U1 spliceosomal RNA (ENSPVIG00000010949.1)". It matches the Rfam family "U1 spliceosomal RNA". From Rfam's summary of the family: U1 is a small nuclear RNA (snRNA) component of the spliceosome (involved in pre-mRNA splicing). The record is from Rfam by way of RNAcentral. Lineage: Eukaryota; Metazoa; Chordata; Lepidosauria; Squamata; Agamidae.